Molecule: ribosomal RNA, 493 nt
Filed under: uncultured Vibrio sp.
Lineage: Bacteria; Pseudomonadati; Pseudomonadota; Gammaproteobacteria; Vibrionales; Vibrionaceae
Description: partial 16S ribosomal RNA
Rfam family: Bacterial small subunit ribosomal RNA
Source: RNAcentral
UGACGGGGGGGCCUAAACCUGGCAAUUCGAGCGGAACCGAGUUAACUGAACCUUCGGGGAACGUUAACGCUGCCAAGCGGGGGACGGGUGAGUAAUGCCUGGGAAAUUGCCCUGAUGUGGGGGAUAACCAUUGGAAACGAUGGCUAAUACCGCAUAAUACCUUCGGCUCAAAGAGGGGGACCUUCGGGCCUCUCGCGUCAGGAUAUGCCCAGGUGGGAUUAGCUAGUUGGUGAGGUAAUGGCUCACCAAGGCGACAAUCCCUAGCUGGUCUGAGAGGAUGAUCACCCACACUGGAACUGAAACACGGUCCAAACUCCUACGGGAGGCAGCAGUGGGGAAUAUUGCACAAUGGGCGCAAGCCUGAUGCACCCAUGCCGCGUGUAUGAAAAAGGCCUUCGGGUUGUAAAGUACUUUCACCAGUGAGGAAGGCAGGUACGUUAAUAGCGUGCUUGUUUGACGUUAGCUGCAAAAAAAGCACCGGCUAACUCCGUGC